GGCGAGGGAAGGAGGCAUUCAUUCCCCUUCUUCAAGAAUUCUUUAUGAAAAAGAUUGUGAAGACACAAAAACCAGAAGAAAAAUGGAUCUGAACGUUAUGCAAAUGUGAGACCCUCUGCCAAGAGGAAAGGUUUCAUUUGACAUUGGAGCAGGACUGCCAGGAAAUUACAAGGGGGAAGUAAACCCUGGAAGCAGUCCAGCAAGAGCCUUGGUCGCCUGCAGUGUGUGGUCAUAUUCCAGUAGAACCAGGGACCCUGGUAAAAUGAUCUGUUUCACUCUGGGUUCCUCAAACAUCUGUCACUCUGUAGGAGCACCUUUGGUUUCUCCAGCCUCCUGAUGCUUUUGAGCCUUCUAGAUCUAGUCUCUGGAACCCACUUACAUCAUUUUCUAAAGCGAACAGAC
This 402-nucleotide long non-coding RNA is filed under the name Cricetulus griseus (Chinese hamster). RNAcentral's name for it is "lncRNA (ENSCGRG00015041952.1)". Lineage: Eukaryota; Metazoa; Chordata; Mammalia; Rodentia; Cricetidae. The record is from RNAcentral.